Molecule: ribosomal RNA, 253 nt
Filed under: uncultured bacterium
Lineage: Bacteria
Description: partial 16S ribosomal RNA
Rfam family: Bacterial small subunit ribosomal RNA
Source: RNAcentral
UACAGAGGUCUCAAGCGUUGUUCGGAUUCAUUGGGCGUAAAGGGCGCGUAGGCGGCGGGGUAAGUCGGGUGUGAAAUCCCAGAGCUCAACUCUGAAAUGGCACUUGAUACUGCUCUGCUAGAGGACUGGAGAGGAGAUUGGAAUUCACGGUGUAGCAGUGAAAUGCGUAGAUAUCGUGAGGAAGACCGGUGGCGAAGGCGGAUCUCUGGACAGUUCCUGACGCUGAGGCGCGAAGGCCAGGGGAGCAAACGGG